UGGCUGGGUGUCAKACAACG
RNAcentral lists this ribosomal RNA (20 nucleotides) under Daniellia oliveri. RNAcentral describes it as "partial 5.8S ribosomal RNA". The record is from RNAcentral. Lineage: Eukaryota; Viridiplantae; Streptophyta; Magnoliopsida; Fabales; Fabaceae.